CCUACGGGCGGCAGCAGUGAGGAAUAUUGGUCAAUGGACGAGAGUCUGAACCAGCCAAGUAGCGUGAAGGAUGACUGCCCUAUGGGUUGUAAACUUCUUUUAUAUGGGAAUAAAAUGUUCCACGUGUGGGAUUUUGUAUGUACCAUAUGAAUAAGGAUCGGCUAACUCCGUGCCAGCAGCCGCGGUAAUACGGGGGAUCCGAGCGUUAUCCGGAUUUAUUGGGUUUAAAGGGAGCGUAGGUGGAUUGUUAAGUCAGUUGUGAAAGUUUGCGGCUCAACCGUAAAAUUGCAGUUGAAACUGGCAGUCUUGAGUACAGUAGAGGUGGGCGGAAUGCGUGGUGUAGCGGUGAAAUGCUUAGAUAUCACGAAGAACUCCGAUUGCGAAGGCAGUUCACUGGACUGCAACUGACACUGAGGCUCGAAAGUGUGGGUAUCAAACAGGAUUAGAUACCCCGGUAGUC
RNAcentral lists this ribosomal RNA (460 nucleotides) under uncultured bacterium. RNAcentral describes it as "partial 16S ribosomal RNA". It matches the Rfam family "Bacterial small subunit ribosomal RNA", at positions 338 to 795 of the family's 1533-position model. The record is from RNAcentral.